This 372-nucleotide ribosomal RNA is filed under the name uncultured organism. RNAcentral describes it as "partial 16S ribosomal RNA". It matches the Rfam family "Bacterial small subunit ribosomal RNA", at positions 527 to 896 of the family's 1533-position model. The record is from RNAcentral.
GGAGGGGGCGAGCGUUUAUUCGGAAUCAUUGGGCGUAAAGGGCAGGUAGGCGGCUUUGUAUGUCCAAUGUGAAAGCCCUCGGCUCAACCGAGGAAUUGCAUUGGAAACUGCAGGGCUUGAGUCCGGGAGAGGGAAGCGGAAUUCCCAGUGUAGCGGUGAAAUGCGUAGAUAUUGGGAGGAACACCAGUGGCGAAGGCGGCUUCCUGGACCGGUACUGACGCUGAUCUGCGAAAGCCAGGGGAGCAAACGGGAUUAGAUACCCCGGUAGUCCUGGCUGUAAACGAUGAGCACUUGGUGUGGCGGGUAUCGACCCCCUGCUGUGCCGACGCUAACGCAUUAAGUGCUCCGCCUGGGGAUACGGUCGCAAGGCUG